RNAcentral lists this ribosomal RNA (497 nucleotides) under uncultured bacterium. RNAcentral's name for it is "partial 16S ribosomal RNA". It matches the Rfam family "Bacterial small subunit ribosomal RNA", at positions 28 to 507 of the family's 1533-position model. The record is from RNAcentral.
GACGAACGCUGGCGGCGUGCCUAAUACAUGCAAGUUGAGCGAUGAAGAUUGGUGCUUGCACCAAUUUGAAGAGCAGCGAACGGGUGAGUAACGCGUGGGGAAUCUGCCUUUGAGCGGGGGACAACAUUUGGAAACGAAUGCUAAUACCGCAUAACAACUUUAAACAUAAGUUUUAAGUUUGAAAGAUGCAAUUGCAUCACUCAAAGAUGAUCCCGCGUUGUAUUAGCUAGUUGGUGAGGUAAAGGCUCACCAAGGCGAUGAUACAUAGCCGACCUGAGAGGGUGAUCGGCCACAUUGGGACUGAGACACGGCCCAAACUCAGACGGGAGGCAGCAGUAGGGAAUCUGCGGAAAGGGAAGAAAGUCUGACAGAGCAAAGCCGCGGGAGUGAAGAAGGGUUUCGGAUCGUAAAACUCGGUUGGUAGAGAAGAACGGUGGUGAGAGUGGAAAGCUCAUAAAGUGACGGUAACUACCCAGAAAGGGACGGCUAACUACGUG